GACGAACGCUGGCGGCGUGCUUAACACAUGCAAGUCGAACGGUGACCCAGGGCUUGCCCUGGUGAUCAGUGGCGAACGGGUGAGUAACACGUGGGGCAACCUGCCCCUGACUUCGGGAUAACUCCUCGAAAGAGGAGCUAAUACCGGAUACGACCACUUCGGACAUCCGAUGGUGGUGGAAAGUUUUUCGGUCAGGGAUGGGCCCGCGGCCUAUCAGCUAGUUGGUGGGGUAAUGGCCUACCAAGGCGACGACGGGUAGCCGGCCUGAGAGGGCGACCGGCCACACUGGGACUGAGACACGGCCCAGACUCCUACGGGAGGCAGCAGUGGGGAAUAUUGCGCAAUGGGCGAAAGCCUGACGCAGCGACGCCGCGUGAGGGAUGAAGGCCUUCGGGUUGUAAACCGUACUUUCAGCAGGGACGAAGCGAAAGUGACGGUACCUGCAGAAGAAGCACCGGCUAACUACGUAGCCAGCAGCCGCGGUAAU
Molecule: ribosomal RNA, 487 nt
Filed under: uncultured bacterium
Lineage: Bacteria
Description: bacterial SSU rRNA
Rfam family: Bacterial small subunit ribosomal RNA
Source: RNAcentral